AGAGUUUGAUCAUGGCUCAGAUUGAACGCUGGCGGCAGGCCUAACACAUGCAAGUCGAGCGGUAGCACAGAGAGCUUGCUCUCGGGUGACGAGCGGCGGACGGGUGAGUAAUGUCUGGGAAACUGCCUGAUGGAGGGGGAUAACUACUGGAAACGGUAGCUAAUACCGCAUAACGUCGCAAGACCAAAGUGGGGGACCUUCGGGCCUCAUGCCAUCAGAUGUGCCCAGAUGGGAUUAGCUAGUAGGUGGGGUAACGGCUCACCUAGGCGACGAUCCCUAGCUGGUCUGAGAGGAUGACCAGCCACACUGGAACUGAGACACGGUCCAGACUCCUACGGGAGGCAGCAGUGGGGAAUAUUGCACAAUGGGCGCAAGCCUGAUGCAGCCAUGCCGCGUGUGUGAAGAAGGCCUUCGGGUUGUAAAGCACUUUCAGCGGGGAGGAAGGCGGUGAGGUUAAUAACCUCACCGAUUGACGUUACCCGCAGAAGAAGCACCGGCUAACUCCGUGCCAGCAGCCGCGGUAAUACGGAGGGUGCAAGCGUUAAUCGGAAUUACUGGGCGUAAAGCGCACGCAGGCGGUCUGUCAAGUCGGAUGUGAAAUCCCCGGGCUCAACCUGGGAACUGCAUUCGAAACUGGCAGGCUAGAGUCUUGUAGAGGGGGGUAGAAUUCCAGGUGUAGCGGUGAAAUGCGUAGAGAUCUGGAGGAAUACCGGUGGCGAAGGCGGCCCCCUGGACAAAGACUGACGCUCAGGUGCGAAAGCGUGGGGAGCAAACAGGAUUAGAUACCCUGGUAGUCCACGCCGUAAACGAUGUCGAUUUGGAGGUUGUGCCCUUGAGGCGUGGCUUCCGGAGCUAACGCGUUAAAUCGACCGCCUGGGGAGUACGGCCGCAAGGUUAAAACUCAAAUGAAUUGACGGGGGCCCGCACAAGCGGUGGAGCAUGUGGUUUAAUUCGAUGCAACGCGAAGAACCUUACCUGGUCUUGACAUCCACAGAACUUAGCAGAGAUGCUUUGGUGCCUUCGGGAACUGUGAGACAGGUGCUGCAUGGCUGUCGUCAGCUCGUGUUGUGAAAUGUUGGGUUAAGUCCCGCAACGAGCGCAACCCUUAUCCUUUGUUGCCAGCGGUUAGGCCGGGAACUCAAAGGAGACUGCCAGUGAUAAACUGGAGGAAGGUGGGGAUGACGUCAAGUCAUCAUGGCCCUUACGACCAGGGCUACACACGUGCUACAAUGGCAUAUACAAAGAGAAGCGACCUCGCGAGAGCAAGCGGACCUCAUAAAGUAUGUCGUAGUCCGGAUUGGAGUCUGCAACUCGACUCCAUGAAGUCGGAAUCGCUAGUAAUCGUAGAUCAGAAUGCUACGGUGAAUACGUUCCCGGGCCUUGUACACACCGCCCGUCACACCAUGGGAGUGGGUUGCAAAAGAAGUAGGUAGCUUAACCUUCGGGAGGGCGCUUACCACUUUGUGAUUCAUGACUGGGGUGAAGUCGUAACAAGGUAACCGUAGGGGAACCUGCGGUUGGAUCACCU
This 1528-nucleotide ribosomal RNA is filed under the name Klebsiella pneumoniae. RNAcentral's name for it is "bacterial SSU rRNA". It matches the Rfam family "Bacterial small subunit ribosomal RNA". Lineage: Bacteria; Pseudomonadati; Pseudomonadota; Gammaproteobacteria; Enterobacterales; Enterobacteriaceae. The record is from RNAcentral.